GAUGAACGCUGGCGGCGUGCCUAAUACAUGCAAGUCGAGCGAACGGACGAGAAGCUUGCUUCUCUGAUGUUAGCGGCGGACGGGUGAGUAACACGUGGAUAACCUACCUAUAAGACUGGGAUAACUUCGGGAAACCGGAGCUAAUACCGGAUAAUAUUUUGAACCGCAUGGUUCAAAAGUGAAAGACGGUCUUGCUGUCACUUAUAGAUGGAUCCGCGCUGCAUUAGCUAGUUGGUAAGGUAACGGCUUACCAAGGCAACGAUGCAUAGCCGACCUGAGAGGGUGAUCGGCCACACUGGAACUGAGACACGGACCAGACUCCUACGGGAGGCAGCAGUAGGGAAUCUUCCGCAAUGGGCGAAAGCCUGACGGAGCAACGCCGCGUGAGUGAUGAAGGUCUUCGGAUCGUAAAACUCUGUUAUUAGGGAAGAACAUAUGUGUAAGUAACUGUGCACAUCUUGACGGUACCUAAUCAGAAAGCCACGGCUAACUACGU
RNAcentral lists this ribosomal RNA (496 nucleotides) under uncultured bacterium. RNAcentral describes it as "partial 16S ribosomal RNA". It matches the Rfam family "Bacterial small subunit ribosomal RNA", at positions 28 to 506 of the family's 1533-position model. The record is from RNAcentral.